CCUACGGGUGGCUGCAGUGGGGAAUAUUGGACAAUGGGCGAAAGCCUGAUCCAGCCAUGCCGCGUGUGUGAAGAAGGCCUUCGGGUUGUAAAGCACUUUCAGUGGGGAAGAAAGCCUUGGGGCUAAUACCCUCGAGGAAGGACAUCACCCACAGAAGAAGCACCGGCUAACUCCGUGCCAGCAGCCGCGGUAAUACGGAGGGUGCGAGCGUUAAUCGGAAUUACUGGGCGUAAAGCGCGCGUAGGCGGUCUGAUAAGCCGGUUGUGAAAGCCCCGGGCUCAACCUGGGAACGGCAUCCGGAACUGUCAGGCUAGAGUGCAGGAGAGGAAGGUAGAAUUCCCGGUGUAGCGGAGAAAUGCGUAGAGAUCGGGAGGAAUACCAGUGGCGAAGGCGGCCUUCUGGACUGACACUGACGCUGAGGUGCGAAAGCGUGGGUAGCAAACAGGGUUAGAUACCCGAGUAGUC
RNAcentral lists this ribosomal RNA (465 nucleotides) under Vreelandella stevensii. Its description in RNAcentral is "partial 16S ribosomal RNA". It matches the Rfam family "Bacterial small subunit ribosomal RNA", at positions 338 to 795 of the family's 1533-position model. Lineage: Bacteria; Pseudomonadati; Pseudomonadota; Gammaproteobacteria; Oceanospirillales; Halomonadaceae. The record is from RNAcentral.